Molecule: non-coding RNA, 1380 nt
Organism: Podarcis lilfordi (Lilford's wall lizard)
Lineage: Eukaryota; Metazoa; Chordata; Lepidosauria; Squamata; Lacertidae
Source: the annotation of a GenBank genome assembly
GGAAACUUUUCUGCUAGGCUUGAUGGGAAAGGAAAUAGAAAAAGUAGGUCAAAGGUUAUUCAUGUAUGCUACGACUGCUGCUAGAACUUUGUUAGCCAAAAAAUGGAAAGUAUCAGAAUUACCAAUAUUAGAGGAGUGGCAGACAAAGAUGGUUGACUAUGUGGAACUAGCAAAACUGACCUGUAGGAUCCGAAAUCAGGAGGAAACAAAAUUCCAAAGAGAUUGGAGUAAAUUUAUAGAACAUAUAAGUAAUAACUGUAGAAAUUUGAAGACUCUGGCAGGAAUGAAAUACGACGUAGAUAGGAUUGGAUACAAUAAGAAACUGUGUAAAAGUAACUGAAGUAAGAAAGCCUGUUGAAGGGAGGGAAGGAAGUCAACGCUCAGCAGAGUGUGGGGAAAGAAUGUGGAGAAAUGACUGUUAAAUUUCACUGUAUUUUGUUUGCUUGUAUUAAAGGAAAAACCAAUAAAAAGCAUUUUAAUGGUUAAGAGCCAUGCUCUGGACCGGGGGAGGUGAUGGUGGGUGGAAGAAAAUAAACCAUCCCCAAUGGAGCAGAAAAGACUCUUCACGUACGCGACAACAGCUGCACGGAUGCUAUUAGCCCAGAGAUGGAAAGAUGAAAGGGUCCCUACCAGAGAGGAAUGGCAAAUCAAGCUGUUAGACUGCGCCGAAAUGGCAAAACUGACCGGAAAGCUCAGGGAUCCAGAAGACAAAAGCUUCAAGAAAGAAUGGGAAAAUUUUUAUAAUUGAUUUAGGAGACCACGGUAAGCAGAUGAAAACAUUAGCAGGAUUUUAAUCUCACUUGUAAUGUAACAAAUACUAUGGACGAUACGGUUAGAUUUAAAGUAGAGAUUAUGAAAUAAUAUGAGGUUGAAAACGUUGACAAUGGAGAGGACCCAUAGAGGGAAUAGGGGGUGGGGGGUGGAGUCCCGAGAUUCAGAAAAAACCUCUCCAUAUGGAUAUUUACUUGAUUUUGUUACAAACCUAUUUUUGUAAACUCGAAUAAAAAUGAUUUCAAAAAAUAAAAUAAACCAUUUUAGAUAUGCGAGCUGAUUUGAUGGAUAUGGUUUGGAUUACCAGCUAUCCACAAAAGUGGGGUGGGGAUGGAAUUCAGCUUAGCACGCCCAAAUCAUCAAGUGAAGCUUUUCAAUACAGUGGUACCUCUGGAUGCGAACGGGAUCUGUUCCAGAGCCCCAUUCGCAUCCUGAAGCGAACGCAACCCGCAUCUGCACAUGCGUGGGUCACGAUUCGCCACUUCCACGCAUGCGCAUGACGUCAUUUUGAGCAUCUGCGCAUGCGCGAGCGACGAAACCGGCAGUAAUGCGCUCCGUUACUUCCAGGUCGCUGCGGAGCGUAACCUGAAAACGCUCAACCUGAAGCGG